Molecule: non-coding RNA, 527 nt
Organism: Schizosaccharomyces pombe (fission yeast)
Lineage: Eukaryota; Fungi; Ascomycota; Schizosaccharomycetes; Schizosaccharomycetales; Schizosaccharomycetaceae
Source: the annotation of a GenBank genome assembly
CAAUAGCAUCAGCAAUCUACCAAAAAUUGGGUGUUCUUCGUUAUAAGCUUUUUGCAAUUCAGCAGUUCUGCAAGCUUUGUCAUUUCCAAACGUCAAAUCCACCCCAAUUCCACUAACAUCUACUAAAUUGAUGCGAGGGACUCUGGCACUAGAAUGGAAAUCAGCAUCAGCAUCCAAGUACUUUCUUAAAACCAUGGUGACGCGUCGUUUCUCCAAUUCUCCAACUCGAGGUGACUUCAAAGAUACGUCUACAUCACUUAUAGAUAAUGUUGUUCCAAUAUACAUGCUACCGUAUACUUGAAGUUCAGCAUCCAAAACGACCUCCCUAAUGUGAGUCUGUAGUUUCUCUAACAAAAGCUUUCUGUACUUCAAUUCCUCGAUUUUCGGGCUUACGAACUCCAAAAAUGAAUAAAGUCGAGCAUUAUCACUCAAACCUUCUUCAUUCCAUGGUACUGAAUGCAGCUCUAACAGGACUUUACCCAUUCUUAAGAAAUGGCAUUUUGGCUAAUUUUAAUAUCAAUGGAUUC